ACGUCCUCCUUUGGAUAUGGCAAUCCACAAGAUACAGCCUGGAGAUAAGGUCCUGAUAAAAACUUGGAAAGAAGUUACAUUAACACCACAAUGGGAAGGCCCCUAUGUUGUUUUGCUUACUACAGAAACAGCUGUCUGGACUGUGGAGAAAGGAUGGACACAUGCCAGCCGUGUUAAAGGACCCAUCUGUGACGAGAAGUGGGAGAUCGCUCCAGGAAACAAAGACCUGAAGCUCACAUUGCGACGAACUCGAUAGGUACCGUGGGUUAAGGUAGAGGCUCUCCCCUGAAGAACACUACUGCUGCCGAGAAGAACUAAAACCUCGUAGUUGGCUGCAACCCAACUGACGAGUGAGGCAGAGGAGUGAAUAAGUGGGGAAAGAAAUGGGCCUCAGCCAUUCCUAUCGGUAUUUAGGGGUUCUCGCAGUGAUUUCAUCCUGCAUAGCGACUCAACACCACCCCCACCAACCCUUUAAAUGGACUUUAAGUCGAUUCGAGGAUCAACAGGAGGACAACGCAGAAACUUUGAUGCUCAGCAAGCAAAUAUUGCAAAAAUUCAAUGAACAAAA
Molecule: long non-coding RNA, 568 nt
Organism: Oxyura jamaicensis (ruddy duck)
Lineage: Eukaryota; Metazoa; Chordata; Aves; Anseriformes; Anatidae
Exons: 2
Source: RefSeq, a predicted model, not a curated record